RNAcentral lists this long non-coding RNA (13031 nucleotides) under Citrus x clementina. RNAcentral describes it as "Citrus clementina (C. clementina) long non-coding RNA (CCLE_LNC006221)". The record is from RNAcentral. Lineage: Eukaryota; Viridiplantae; Streptophyta; Magnoliopsida; Sapindales; Rutaceae.
UUUAGGCCCGGCUUUGUCCGCGGCCUAUUUUUGGCACACGGAGGCCCCUCGAAAAGUCUCGCGGCAUUCCGAGUCCGGCGGACGAAGUUGGCCAGCCCCACCCCCCAAGGCUAUAGCCCACCCGUUUUUGUGGCCUUUUUCCGCUGGACGAACUUGGCGCCCCGGCCUUCGGGCGGUUAUUUUUGGGCGCGGCUUUGCCCGCGGCCUAUUUUUGGCACACAGAGGCCCCUCGCAAAGUCUCGCGGCAUUCCGAGUCCGGCGGACGAAGUUGGCCAGCCCCACCCCCCAAGGCUAUAGCCCACCCGUUUUUGUGGCCUUUUUCCGCUGGACGAAUUUGGCGCCCCGGCCUUCGGGUGGUUAUUUUUGGACGCGGCUUUUCCCGCGGCCUAUUUUUGGCACACGGAGGUGCCUCCCGAAGUCUCGCGCCAUUCCGAGUCCGGCGGACGAAGUUGGCCAGCCCCACCCCCCAAGGCUAUAGCCCACCCAUUUUUGUGGCCUUUUUCCGCUGGACGAACUUGGCGCCCCGGGCUUCGGGCAUUUAUUUUUGGGCGCGGCUGUGUCCGCGGCCUAUUUUUGGCACACGGAGGUGCCUUGCGAAGUCUCGCGCCAUUCCGAGACCAGAGGGUGAAGUUGGCCAGCCCCACCCCCCAAGGCUGUAGCCCACCCGUUUUUGUGGCCUUUUUCCGCUGGACAAACUUGGCGCCCCAGCCUUCGGGCAGUGAUUUUUGGGCGCGGCUGUGCCCGAAGCCUAUUUUUGGCACACGGAGGCACCUCGUAAGGUCUCGCACCAUUCCGAGUCCGGCGGACGAAGUUGGCCUGCCCCACCCCCCAAGGCUAUAGCCCACCCGUUUUUAUGGCCUUUUUCCGCUGGACGAACUUGGCGCCCCAGCCUUCGGGCGGUUAUUUUUGGGUGCGGCUGUCUCCGCGGCCUAUUUUUGGCACACGGAGACCCCUCGCAAAGUCUCGCACCAUUCCGCGCCGGCGGACGAAGUUGGCCAGCCCCACCCCCCAAGGCUAUAGUCCACCCGUUUUUGUGGCCUUUUUCCGCUGGACGAACUUGGUGCCCCAGCCUUCGGCCGGUUAUUUUUGGGUGCAGCUUUGCCCGCGGCCUAUUUACUGCACACGGAGACCGCUCAUAAAGUCUCGUGGCAUUCCGAGUCCGGCGGACGAACUUGGCCAGCCCCACCCCCCAAGGCUAUAGCCCACCCGUUUUUGUGGCCUUUUUCCGCUGGACGAACUUGGCGCCGCGGCCUUCGGGCGGUGAUUUUUGGGCGCGGCUGUGCCCGAAGCCUAUUUUUGGCACACGGAGGUGCCUCGCAUAGUCUCGCGCCAUUCCGAGUCAUGCGGACGAAGUUGGCCAGCCUCACCCCCCAAGGCUAUAGCCCACCCCGUUUUGUGGCCUUUAUCCGCUGGACGAACUUGGCGCCCCGGCCUUCGGGCGGUUAUUUUUGGGCGUGGCUGUGUCCGCUGCCUAUUUUUGGCUCACGGAGGCCCCUCGCAAAGUCUCGCGCCAUUCCGAAGACAGCGGACGAAGUUGGCCAGCCCCACCCCCCAGGCUAUAGCCCACCCGUUUUUUGUGGCUUUUUCCGCUGGACGAACUUGGCACCCCAGCCUUCGGCCGGUUAUUUUUGGGCGUAGCUUUGCCCGCGGCCUAUUUACUGCACACGGAGACCGCUCAUAAAGUCUCGUGGCAUUACGAGUCCGGCGGACGAACUUGGCCAGCCCCACCCCCCAAGGCUAUAGCCCACCCGUUUUUGUGGCCUUUUUCCGAAGGACGAACUUGGCGCCCCGGCCUUCGGGCGGUGAUUUUUGGGCGCGGCUGUGCCCGAAGCCUAUUUUUGGCACACAGAGGUGCCUCACGAAUUCUCGCGCCAUUCCGAGUCAUGCGGACGAAGUUGGCCAGCCCCACCCCCCAAGCCUAUAGCCCACCCGUUUUUGUGGCCUUUUUCCGCUGGACGAACUUGGCGCCCCGGCCUACGAACGGUUAUUUUUGGGCGCGGCUGUGUCCGCAGCCUAUUUUUGGCACACGGAGGCCCCUCGCAAAGUCUCGCGGAAUUCCGAGUCCGACGGACGAAGUUGGCCAGCCCCACCCCCCAAGGCCAUAGCCCACCCAUUUUUGUGGCCUUUUUCCGCUGGACGAACUUGGCGCCCCGGGCUUCGGGCAGUUAUUUUUGGGCGCGGCUGUGCCAGUGGCAUAGUUUUGGCACACGGAGGCGCCUCACAAAGUCUCGCGCCAUUCCAAGUCCGGCGGACGAAGUUGGCCAGCCCCACCCCCCAAGGCUAUAGCCCACCCAUUUUUGUGGCCUUUUUCCGCUGGACGAACUUGGCGCCCCGGCCUUCGGGCGUUUAUUUUUGGGCGCGGCUGUGCCCGCGGCCUAAUUUUGGCACACGGAGGUGCCUCGCGAAGUCUCGCGCCAUUCCGAGUCCGGCGGACGAAGUUGGCCAGCCCCACCCCCCAAGGCUGUAGCCCACCCGUUUUUGUGGCCUUUUUCCACUGGACAAACUUGGCGCCCCCGCCUUCGGGCCGGAAUUUUUGGGCGCGGCUGUGCCGGAAGCCUAUUUUUGGCACACGGAGGCACCUCACAAAGUCUCGCACCAUUCCGAGUCCGGCGGACGAAGUUGGCCAGCCCCACCCCCCAAUGCUAUAGCCCACCCGUUUUUAUGGCCUUUUUCCGCUGGACGAACUUGGCGCCCCGGCCUUCAGGCGGUGAUUUUUGGGUGCGGCUGUGCCCGUAGCCUAUUUUUGGCACACAGAGGCACCUCGCAAAGUCUCGGGCCAUUCCGAGUCCGGCGGACGAAGUUCGCCAGCCCCGCCCCCCAAGGCUAUAGCCAACCGUUUUUGUGGGCUUUUUCCGCUGGACGAACAUGGCACCCCGGCCUUCGGGCGGUUAUUUUUGGCCGCGGCUGUGCCCGUGGCCUAUUUUUGGCACGCGGAGGUGCCUCGUAAAGUCUCGCGCCAUUCCGAGUCCGGCGGACGAAGUUGGCCAGCCCCACCCCCCAAGGCUAUAGCCCACCCGUUUUUGUGGCCUUUUUCCGCUGGACGAACUUGGCGCCCCGACCAUCAGGCAGUUAUUUUUGGGCACGGCUGUGUCCGCAGCCUAUUUUCUGCACACGGAGGCCCCUCGCAAAGUCUCGCGCCAUUCCGAGUCCGGCGGACGAAGUUGGCCAGCCCCACACCCCAAUGCUAUAGCCCACCCGUUUUUGUGGCCUUUUUCCGCUGGAUGAACUUGGCGCUCCAGCCUUCGGGCGGUUAUUUUUGGGCGUGGCUGUGCAUGUGGCCUAUUUUUGGCACACGGAGGUGCCUCGCAAAGUAUCGUGCCAAUCCGAGUCCGGCGGACGAAGUGGGUCAGCCCCACCCCCCAAGGCUAUAGCCAACCGUUUUUGUGGGCUUUUUCCGGUGGACGAACUUGGCGCCCCGGCCUUCGGGCGGUUAUUUUUGGGCGUUGCUGUGCCCGCGGCCUAUUUUUUGCAAUCGGAGGCACCUCGCAAAGUCUCGCGCCAUUCCGAGUCCGGCGGAUGAAGUUGGCCAGCCCCACCCCCCAAGGUUAUAGCCCACCCGUUUUUGGGGCAUUUUCCCGCUGGACGAACAUGGCGCCCCGGCCUUCGGGCGGUUAUUUUUGGGCGCGGCUGUGUCCGCGGCCUAUUUUUGGCACACAGAGGCGCCUCGCAAAGUCUCGCGCCAUUCCGAGUCCGGCGGACGAAGUUGUCCAGCCCCACCCCCCAAGGCUAUAGCCCACCCGUUUUUGUGGCCUUUUUCCGCUGGACGAACUUGGCGCCCCGGCCUUCGGGCGGUUAUUUUUGGGAGCGGCUGUGCCCGCAGCCUAUUUUUGGCACAUGGAGGCACCUNNNNNNNNNNNNNNNNNNNNNNNNNNNNNNNNNNNNNNNNNNNNNNNNNNNNNNNNNNNNNNNNNNNNNNNNNNNNNNNNNNNNNNNNNNNNNNNNNNNNNNNNNNNNNGCCCCGGCAAUUCGGGAGCUGGUAGAUUUUUGGGUGCGGCUGUGCCCGCAGUCUAUUUUUGGCACACGGAGGCACCUCGCAAAGUCUCGCGCCAUUCCGAGUCCGGCGGACGAAGUUCGCCAGCCCCACCCCCAAAGGUUAUAGCCCACCCGUUUUUGUGGCCUUUUUCCGCUGCACGAACUUGGCGCCCCGGCCUUCGGGCUGUUAUUUUUGGCCACGGCUGUGUCUGCGGCCUAUUUUUGCCACACGGAGGCACCUCGCAAAGUCUCGCGCCAUUCCGAGUCCGGCGGACGAAGUUCGCCAGCCCCACCCCCCAAUGCUAUAGCCCACCCGUUUUUGUGGCCUUUUUCCGCUGGACGAACUUGGCGCCCCGGCCUUCGGGCGGUGAUUUUUGGGUGCGGCUGUGCCCGCAGCCUAUUUUUGGCACACGGAGGCACCUCGCAAAGUCUCGCGCCAUUCCGAGUCCGGCUGACGAAGUUCGCCAGCCCCACCCCCCAAUGCUAUAGCCCAACCGUUUUUGUGGCCUUUUUCCGCUGCACGAACUUGGCGCCCCGGCCUUCGGGCGGUUAUUUUUGGGCGCGGCUGUGCCCGCAGCCUAUUUUUGGCACACGGAGGCACCUCGCAAAAUCUCGCGGCAUUCCGAGUCCGGCGGACGAAGUUGGCCAGCCCCACACCCCAAUGCUAUAGCCCACCCGCAGCCUAUUUCCUGCACACGGAAGCCCCUCGCAAAGUCUCGCGCCAUUCCGAGUCCAGCGGACGAAGUUGGCCAGCCCCACAUCCCAAUGCUAUAGCCCACCCGUUUUUGUGGCCUUUUUCCGCUGGACGAACUUGGCGCUCCAGCCUUCGGGCGGUUAUUUUUUGGGCAUGGCUGUGCAUGUGGCCUAUUUUUGGCACACGGAGGUGCCUCGCAAAGUAUCGCGCCAAUCCGAGUCCGGCGGACGAAGUUGGUCAGCCCCACCCCCAAAGGCUAUACCCAACCGUUUUUGUGGCCUUUUUCCGCUGCACGAACUUGGCGCCCCGGCCUUCGGGCCGUUAUUUUUGGCCACGGCUGUGUCAGCGGCCUAUUUUUGGCACACCGAGGCUAUAGCCCACCCCUCAAGGCUAUAGCCCACCCGUUUUUGUGGCCUUUUUCGGCUGGACGAACUUGGCGCCUCUGCCUUCGGGCUGUUAUUUUUGGGUGCGGCUGACCCCGCGGCCUAUUAUUGGCACACGGAGGCGCCUUACAAAGUCUCGCGCUAUUCCGAGUUCGGCGGACGAUGUUGGCCAGCCCCACCCAAGGCUAUAGCCCACCCGUGUUUGUGGCAUAUUUCCGCAGGACGUACUUGGCGCCCCGGCCUUCGGGCGGUUAUUUUUUGGCACGGCUGUGCCCGCGGCCUAUUUUUGGCACACGGAGGCGCCUCGCAAAGUCUCGUGCAAUUGCGAGUCCGGCGGACGAAGUUGGCCAGCCCCACCCCCCAAGGCUAUAGCCCACCCGUUUUUGUGGCCUUUUUCCGCUGGACGAACUUGGCGCUCCAGCCUUCGGGCGGUUAUUUUUUGGGCGUGGCUGUGCAUGUGGCCUAUUUUUGGCACACGGAGGUGCCUCGCAAAGUAUCGCGCCAAUCCGAGUCCGGCGGACGAAGUUGGUCAGCCCCACCCCCAAAGGCUAUAGCCAACCGUUUUUGUGGCCUUUUUCCGCUGCACGAACUUGGCGCCCCGGCCUUCGGGCCGUUAUUUUUGGCCACGGCUGUGUCAGCGGCCUAUUUUUGGCACACCGAGGCUAUAGCCCACCCCUCAAGGCUAUAGCCCACCCGUUUUUGUGGCCUUUUUCGGCUGGACGAACUUGGCGCCUCUGCCUUCGGGCUGUUAUUUUUGGGUGCGGCUGUGCCCGCGGCCUAUUAUUGGCACACGGAGGCGCCUUACAAAGUCUCGCGCUAUUCCGAGUUCGGCGGACGAUGUUGGCCAGCCCCACCCAAGGCUAUAGCCCACCUGUUUUUGUGGCAUAUUUCCGCAGGACGUACUUGGCGCCCCGGCCUUCGGGCGGUUAUUUUUUGGCACGGCUGUGCCCGCGGCCUAUUUUUGGCACACGGAGGCGCCUCGCAAAGUCUCGCGCCAUUCCGAGUCCGGCGGACGAAGUUGGCCAGCCCCACCCCACAAGGCUAUAGCCCACCCGUUUUUGUGGCCUUUUUCCGCUGGACGAACUUGGCGCUCCAGCCUUCGGGCGGUUAUUUUUGGGCGUGGCUGUGCAUGUGGCCUAUUUUUGGCACAUGGAGGUGCCUCGCAAAGUAUUGCGCCAAUCCGAGUCCGGCGGACGAAGUUGGUCAGCCCCACCCCCCAAGGCUAUAGCCAACCGUUUUUGUGGGCUUUUUCUGCUGGACAAACGUGGCGCCCCGGCCUUCGGGCGGUUAUUUUUGGGCGCGGCUGUGCCCGCAACCUAAAUUUGGCACACAGAGGCACCUCCCAAAGUCUCGCACCAUUCCGAGUCCGGCGGACGAAGUCGGCCAGCCCCACCCCCCAAGGCUAUACCCCACCCGUUUUUGUGCCCUUUUUCCGCUGCACGAACUUGGCGCCCCGGCCUUUGGGCCGUUAUUUUUGGCCACGGCUGUGGCCACGGCAUAUUUUUGGCACACGGAGGCACCUCGUAAAGUCUCGCGCCAUUCCGAGUCCGGCGGAUGAAGUUCGCCCGCCCCACCCCCGAAUGCUAUAGCCCACCCGUUUUUGUGGCCUUUUUCCGCUGGACGAACUUGGCGCCCCGGCCUUCGGGCCGUGAUUUUUGGGUGUGGCUGUGCCCGCAGCCUAUUUUUGGCACACGGAGGCACUUCGCAAAGUCUCGCGCCAUUCCGAGUCCGGCGGACGAAGUUCGUCAGCCCCACCCCCCAAUGCUAUAGCCCACCCGUUUUUGUGGCCUUUUUCCGCUGGACGAAUUUGGCGCCCCGGCCUUCGGGUGGUUAUUUUUGGACGCGGCUUUGCCCGUGGCCUAUUUUUGGCACACGGAGGCAACUCGCAAAGUCUCGCGGCAUUCCGAGUCCGGCGGACGAAGUUGGCCAGCCCCACCCCCCAAGGCUAUAGCCCACCCGUUUUUUUUGGCUUUUUCCGCUGGACGAACUUGGCGCCCCGGCCUUCGGGCAGUUAUUUUUGGGCGCGGCUGUGCCAGUGGCAUAGUUUUGGCACACGGAGGUGCCUCGAAAAGGCUCACGCCAUUGCGAGUCCGGCGGACGAAGUUGGCCAGCCCCACCCCCCAAGGCUAUAGCCCACCCAUUUUUGUGGCCUUUUUCCGCUGGACGAACUUGGUGCUCCGGCCUUCGGGCGUUUAUUUUUGGGCGCGGCUGUUCCCACGGCCUAUUUUUGGCACACGGAGGUGCCUCGCGAAGUCUCGCGCCAUUCCGAGUCCGGCGGACGAAGUUGGCCAGCCCCACCCCCCAAGGCUAUAGCCCACCCAUUUUUGUGGCCUUUUUCCGCUGGACGAACUUAGCGCCCCGGGCUUCGGGCAUUUAUUUUUGGGCGCGGCUGUGUCCGCGGCCUAUUUUUGGCACACGGAGGUGCCUCGCGAAGUCUCGCGCCAUUCCGAGACCAGAGGAUGAAGUUGGCCAGCCCCACCCCCCAAGGCUGUAGCCCACCCGUUUUUGUGGCCUUUUUCCGCUGGACAAACUUGGCGCCCCAGCCUUCGGGCAGUGAUUUUUGGGCGCGGCUGUGCCCGAAGCCUAUUUUUGGCACACGGAGGCCCCUCGCAAAGUCUCGCGCCAUUCCGAGUCCGGCGGACGAAGUUGGCCAGCCCCACCCCCCAAGGCUAUAGCCCACCCGUUUUUGUGGCCUUUUUCCGCUGGACGAACUUGGUGCCCCAGCCUUCGGCCGGUUAUUUUUGGGCGCAGCUUUGCCCGCGGCCUAUUUACUGCACACGGAGACCGCUCAUAAAGUCUCGUGGCAUUCCGAGUCCAGCGGACGAACUUGGCCAGCCCACCCCCCAAGGCUAUAGCCCACCCGUUGUUGUGGCCUUUUUCCGCUGGACGAACUUGGCUCCCCGGCCUUCGGGCGGUGAUUUUUGGGUGCGGCUGUGCCCAAAGCCUAUUUUUGGCACACGGAGGCGCCUCGCAAAGUCUCGCACCAUUCCGAGUCAUGCGGACGAAGUUGGCCAGCCCCACUCCCCAAGGCUAUAGCCCACCCGUUUUUGUGGCCUUUUUCCGCUGGACGAACGGGGCGCCCCGGCCUUCAGGCGGUUAUUUUUGGGCGCGGCUGUGUUCGCGGCCUAUUUUGGAACGCGGAGCCUCCUCGUAAAGUCUCGCGCCAUUCCGAGUCCGGCGGACGAAGUUGGCCAGCCCCACCCCCCAAGGCUAUAGCCCACCCGUUUUUGUGGCCUUUUUCCGCUGGACGAACUUGGUGCCCCAGCCUUCGGCCGGUUAUUUUUGGGCGCGGCUUUGCCCGCGGCCUAUUUACUGCACACGGAGACCGCUCAUAAAGUCUCGUGGCAUUCCGAGUCCAGCGGACGAACUUGGCCAGCCCACCCCCCAAGGCUAUAGCCCACCCGUUGUUGUGGCCUUUUUCCGCUGGACGAACUUGGCUCCCCGGCCUUCGGGCGGUGAUUUUUGGCCGCGGCUGUGUCCGAAGCCUAUUUUUGGCACACGGAGGCGCCUCGCAAAGUCUCGCACCAUUCCGAGUCAUGCGGACGAAGUUGGCCAGCCCCACCCCCCAAGGCUAUAGCCCACCCGUUUUUGUGGCCUUUUUCCGCUGGACGAACUUGGCGCCCCGACCAUCGGGCAGUUAUUUUUGGGCGCGGCUGUGCCCGCAGCCUAUUUUCUGCACACGGAGGCCCCUCGCAAAGUCUCGCGCCAUUCCGAGUCCGGCGGACGAAGUUGGCCAGCCCCACACCCCAAUGCUAUAGCCCACCCGUUUUUGUGGCCUUUUUCCGCUGGAUGAACUUGGCGCUCCAGCCUUCGGGCGGUUAUUUUUGGGCGUGGCUGUGCAUGUGGCCUAUUUUUGGCACACGGAGGUGCCUCGCAAAGUAUCGUGCCAAUCCGAGUCCGGCGGACGAAGUGGGUCAGCCCCACCCCCCAAGGCUAUAGCCAACCGUUUUUGUGGGCUUUCCGGUGGACGAACUUGGCGCCCCGGCCUUCGGGCGGUUAUUUUUGGGCGUUGCUGUGCCCGCGGCCUAUUUUUUGCAAUCGGAGGCACCUCGCAAAGUCUCGCGCCAUUCCGAGUCCGGCGGAUGAAGUUGGCCAGCCCCACCCCCCAAGGUUAUAGCCCACCCGUUUUUGGGGCAUUUUCCCGCUGGACGAACAUGGCGCCCCGGCCUUCGGGCGGUUAUUUUUGGGCGCGGCUGUGUCCGCGGCCUAUUUUUGGCACACAGAGGCGCCUCGCAAAGUCUCGCGCCAUUCCGAGUCCGGCGGACGAAGUUGGCCAGCCCCACCCCCCAAGGCUAUAGCCCACCCGUUUUUGUGGCCUUUUUUCGCUGGACGAACUUGGCGCCCCGGCCUACUUUUGGCAGACGGAGGCGCCUCGCAAAGUCUCGCGCCAUUCCAAGUCCAGCGGGCGAAGUUGGCUAGCCCCACACCCCAAUGCUAUAGCCCACCCGUUUUUGUGGCCUUUUUCCGCUGGACGAACUUGGCGCUCCAGCCUUCGGGCGGUUAUUUUUUGGGCGUGGCUGUGCAUGUGGCCUAUUUUUGGCACACGGAGGUGCCUCGCAAAGUAUCGCGCCAAUCCGAGUCCGGCGGACGAAGUUGGUCAGCCCCACCCCCAAAGGCUAUAGCCAACCGUUUUUGUGGCCUUUUUCCGCUGCACGAACUUGGCGCCCCGGCCUUCGGGCCGUUAUUUUUGGCCACGGCUGUGUCAGCGGCCUAUUUUUGGCACACCGAGGCUAUAGCCCACCCCUCAAGGCUAUAGCCCACCCGUUUUUGUGGCCUUUUUCGGCUGGACGAACUUGGCGCCUCUGCCUUCGGGCUGUUAUUUUUGGGUGCGGCUGUGCCCGCGGCCUAUUAUUGGCACACGGAGGCGCCUUACAAAGUCUCGCGCUAUUCCGAGUUCGGCGGACGAUGUUGGCCAGCCCCACCCAAGGCUAUAGCCCACCUGUUUUUGUGGCAUAUUUCCGCAGGACGUACUUGGCGCCCCGGCCUUCGGGCGGUUAUUUUUUGGCACGGCUGUGCCCGCGGCCUAUUUUUGGCACACGGAGGCGCCUCGCAAAGUCUCGCGCCAUUCCGAGUCCGGCGGACGAAGUUGGCCAGCCCCACCCCCCAAGGCUAUAGCCCACCCGUUUUUGUGGCCUUUUUCCGCUGGACGAACUUUGGCGCCCCGGCAUUCGGGCGGUUAUUUUUGGGCGCGGCUGUGCCCGUGGCCUAUUUUUGGCACACGGAGGCGCCUCGCAAAGUCUCGCGCCAUUCCGAGUCCGGCGGACGAAGUUGGCCAGCCCCACCCCCCAAGGCUAUAGCCCACCCGUUUUUGUGGCCUUUUUCCGCUGGACGAACUUGGCGCUCCAGCCUUCGGGCGGUUAUUUUUGGGCGUGGCUGUGCAUGUGGCCUAUUUUUGGCACAUGGAGGUGCCUCGCAAAGUAUUGCACCAAUCCGAGUCCGGCGGACGAAGUUGGUCAGCCCCACCCCCCAAGGCUAUAGCCAACCGUUUUUGUGGGCUUUUUCUGCUGGACGAACGUGGCGCCCCGGCCUUCGGGCGGUUAUUUUUGGGCGCGGCUGUGCCUGCAACCUAAAUUUGGCACACGGAGGCACCUCCCAAAGUCUCGCACCAUUCCGAGUCCGGCGGACGAAGUCGGCCAGCCCCACCCCCCAAGGCUAUACCCCACCCGUUUUUGUGCCCUUUUUCCGCUGCACGAACUUGGCGCCCCGGCCUUCGGGCCGUUAUUUUUGGCCACGGCUGUGGCCACGGCCUAUUUUUGGCACACGGAGGCACCUCGUAAAGUCUCGCGCCAUUCCGAGUCCGGCGGACGAAGUUCGCCAGCCCCACCCCCGAAUGCUAUAGCCCACCCGUUUUUGUGGCCUUUUUCCGCUGGACGAACUUGGCGCCCCGGCCUUCGGGCCGUGAUUUUUGGGUGUGGCUGUGCCCGCAGCCUAUUUUUGGCACACGGAGGCACUUCGCAAAGUCUCGCGCCAUUCCGAGUCCGGCGGACGAAGUUCGUCAGCCCCACCCCCCAAUGCUAUAGCCCACCCGUUUUUGUGGCCUUUUUCCGCUGGACGAAUUUGGCGCCCCGGCCUUCGGGUGGUUAUUUUUGGACGCGGCUUUGCCCGUGGCCUAUUUUUGGCACACGGAGGCAACUCGCAAAGUCUCGCGGCAUUCCAAGUCCGGCGGACGAAGUUGGCCAGCCCCACCCCCCAAGGACAUAGCCCACCCAUUUUUGUGGCCUUUUUCCGCUGGACGAACUUGGCGCCCCGGCCUUCGGGCAGUUAUUUUUGGGCGCGGCUGUGCCAGUGGCAUAGUUUUGGCACACGGAGGUGCCUCGAAAAGGCUCACGCCAUUGCGAGUCCGGCGGACGAAGUUGGCCAGCCCCACCCCCCAAGGCUAUAGCCCACCCAUUUUUGUGGCCUUUUUCCGCUGGACGAACUUGGUGCUCCGGCCUUCGGGCGUUUAUUUUUGGGCGCGGCUGUUCCCACGGCCUAUUUUUGGCACACGGAGGUGCCUCGCGAAGUCUCGCGCCAUUCCGAGUCCGGCGGACGAAGUUGGCCAGCCCCACCCCCCAAGGCUAUAGCCCACCCAUUUUUGUGGCCUUUUUCCGCUGGACGAACUUGGCGCCCCGGGCUUCGGGCAUUUAUUUUUGGGCGCGGCUGUGUCCGCGGCCUAUUUUUGGCACACGGAGGUGCCUCGCGAAGUCUCGCGCCAUUCCGAGACCAGAGGAUGAAGUUGGCCAGCCCCACCCCCCAAGGCUGUAGCCCACCCGUUUUUGUGGCCUUUUUCCGCUGGACAAACUUGGCGCCCCAGCCUUCGGGCAGUGAUUUUUGGGCGCGGCUGUGCCCGAAGCCUAUUUUUGGCACACGGAGGCCCCUCGCAAAGUCUCGCGCCAUUCCGAGUCCGGCGGACGAAGUUGGCCAGCCCCACCCCCCAAGGCUAUAGCCCACCCGUUUUUGUGGCCUUUUUCCGCUGGACGAACUUGGUGCCCCAGCCUUCGGCCGGUUAUUUUUGGGCGCAGCUUUGCCCGCGGCCUAUUUACUGCACACGGAGACCGCUCAUAAAGUCUCGUGGCAUUCCGAGUCCAGCGGACGAACUUGGCCAGCCCACCCCCCAAGGCUAUAGCCCACCCGUUGUUGUGGCCUUUUUCCGCUGGACGAACUUGGCUCCCCGGCCUUCGGGCGGUGAUUUUUGGGCGCGGCUGUGCCCGAAGCCUAUUUUUGGCACACGGAGGUGCCUCACGAAGUCUCGCGCCAUUCCGAGUCAUGCGGACGAAGUUGGCCAGCCCCACUCCCCAAGGCUAUAGCCCACCCGUUUUUGUGGCCUUUUUCCGCUGGACGAACUUGGCGCCCCGGCCUUCGGGCGGUUAUUUUUGGGCGCGGCUUUGCCCGCAGCCUAUUUUCUGCACACGGAGUCCCCUCGUAAAGUCUCACGGCAUUCCGAGUCCGGCCGACAAAGUUGGCCAGCCCCACCCCCCAAGGCUAUAACCCACCCAUUUUUGUGGCCUUUUUCCGCUGGACGAACGGGGCGCCCCGGCCUUCGGGCGGUUAUUUUUCGCCGCGGCUGUGCCCGCGGGCUAUUUUUGGCACACGGAGGCACCUCGCAAAGUCUUAUGCCAUUCCGAGUCCGGCGGACGAAGUCGGCCAGCCCCACCCCCCAAUGCUAUAGCCCGCCCGUUAUUGUGGCCUUUAUCCGCUGGACGAACUUGGCACCCCGGCCUUCGGGCGGUUAUUUUUGAGCGCGGCUGUGUCCGCGGCCUAUUUUGGGCACACGGAAGCCCCUCGCAAAGUCUCGCGCCAUUCCGAGUCCGGCGGACGAAGUUGGCCAGCCCCACCCCCCAAGGCUAUAGCCCACCCGUUUUUGUGGCCUUUUUCCGCUGGACGAAUUUGGCGCCCCAGCCUUCGGGGGGUUAUUUUUGGGCGCGGCUUUGCCCGCGGCCUAUUUACUGCACACGGAGACCGCUCAUAAAGUCUCGUGGCAUUCCGAGUCCGGCGGACGAAGU